AGUGAACGCUGGCGGUAGGCUUAACACAUGCAAGUCGAACGGCAGCACAGUAAGAGCUUGCUCUUACGGGUGGCGAGUGGCGGACGGGUGAGGUAUACAUCGGAAUCUACUUUUUCGUGGGGGAUAACGUAGGGAAACUUACGCCAAUACCGCAUACGACCUACGGGUGAAAGCAGGGGAUCUUCGGACCUUGCGCGAUUGAAUGAGCCGAUGUCGGAUUAGCUAGUUGGCGGGGUAAAGGCCAACCAAGGCGGCGAUCCGUAGCUGGUCUGAGAGGAUGGUCGGCCACACUAGAGCUGAGACACGGUCCAGACUCCUACGGGAGGCAGCAGUGGGGAAUGUUGGACAAUGGGCGCAAGCCUGAUCCAGCCAUACCGCGUGGGUGAAGAAAGCCUUCGGGUUGUAAAGCCCUUUUGUUGGGAAAGAAAAGCAGCAGGUUAAUACCCCGCUGUUCUGACGGUACCCAAAGAAUAAGCACCGGCUAACUUCGUG
This 492-nucleotide ribosomal RNA is filed under the name uncultured bacterium. RNAcentral's name for it is "partial 16S ribosomal RNA". It matches the Rfam family "Bacterial small subunit ribosomal RNA", at positions 29 to 507 of the family's 1533-position model. The record is from RNAcentral.